This 76-nucleotide transfer RNA is filed under the name Kocuria rhizophila. Its description in RNAcentral is "tRNA-Thr". It matches the Rfam family "tRNA". Rfam says of the family: Transfer RNA (tRNA) molecules are approximately 80 nucleotides in length. Lineage: Bacteria; Bacillati; Actinomycetota; Actinomycetes; Micrococcales; Micrococcaceae. The record is from RNAcentral.
GCCACCUUAGCUCAGUCGGUAGAGCAAUUCCCUCGUAAAGAAUAGGUCGCCGGUUCGAUUCCGGCAGGUGGCUCAA